RNAcentral lists this ribosomal RNA (618 nucleotides) under Klebsiella pneumoniae. RNAcentral describes it as "bacterial SSU rRNA". It matches the Rfam family "Bacterial small subunit ribosomal RNA", at positions 115 to 729 of the family's 1533-position model. Lineage: Bacteria; Pseudomonadati; Pseudomonadota; Gammaproteobacteria; Enterobacterales; Enterobacteriaceae. The record is from RNAcentral.
GUCUGGGAAACUGCCUGAUGGAGGAAAAAAACUACUGGAAACGGUAGCUAAUACCGCAUAACGUCGCAAGACCAAAGUGGGGGACCUUCGGGCCUCAUGCCAUCAGAUGUGCCCAGAUGGGAAUAGCUAGUAGGUGGGGUAACGGCUCACCUAGGCGACGAUCCCUAGCUGGUCUGAGAGGAUGACCAGCCACACUGGAACUGAGACACGGUCCAGACUCCUACGGGAGGCAGCAGUGGGGAAUAUUGCACAAUGGGCGCAAGCCUGAUGCAGCCAUGCCGCGUGUGUGAAGAAGGCCUUCGGGUUGUAAAGCACUUUCAGCGGGGAGGAAGGCGAUAAGGUUAAUAACCUUGUCGAUUGACGUUACCCGCAGAAGAAGCACCGGCUAACUCCGUGCCAGCAGCCGCGGUAAUACGGAGGGUGCAAGCGUUAAUCGGAAUUACUGGGCGUAAAGCGCACGCAGGCGGUCUGUCAAGUCGGAUGUGAAAUCCCCGGGCUCACCCUGGGAACUGCAUUCGAAACUGGCAGGCUAGAGUCUUGUAGAGGGGGGUAGAAUUCCAGGUGUAGCGGUGAAAUGCGUAGAGAUCUGGAGGAAUACCGGUGGCGAAGGCGGCCCCC